CUGGACCUAUCCGGCUUGGCACGCAGACGGUCGCUCCGGGCGUUGGUGUGGGCAGAGAACUGUUGGCUGGAUCCAGUACGUUUGUCAUGCAGCCAUCUUCAAGAGCAAGGCCUGCUGGAGCCAGGACGAGAGCUUCGAACAGCCAUGAUUCCUGCCGUGAUUGUGGGAACGGCGCCUGGCCAGGUGGACAACGUGGCUCAGGAGGAGCGCCUCGUACACGCUCGACGGCAACCUGGACCGUAGUAGCUGAUGGUCGACCGAUAUCCUGGGGCUUCCUCCGCUAAGUGGUCUUCCCAGCAAAGUCCGCUUCGCGACGACUCGCAGCGUGUGUUGCAGUCUUUCAACGAUCUCACGCUCGUAGAACGCCACCCCAGCGACCGUCAAGUUCCGAAGACGAACGACGCUUGCUGUGCCCUACAUGCAUGGUCCCAGAAAUUCAUCGGGAAGCUCACCGUCGUGGAUUGCUGCACUGCACUAAGACAGAAGCCGCGUGUCAUGCCAGGGCCGCCGAUAACUACGUGGAAGCAGCCAUCUCCUUGUUAACAAGACGUCGCCCCGAACUGUUUGCGUCUGAUGAGCGAGCACCACCACGGAGACAUCCCCGACAUUUGAGUACGACGUUUCGCCCCGACUGAUUGUGCAGCACCGUAAACCACUUUCUUUGUUGACCUUCUGUUUUGUUGAGUUAGCGAAACUGUGUUAUGGAUGUUGUGUCCAGUUUUGGGGGUAAGGGGAUGUGGGGAACAGAUUAUCUCGAAUGUUAUAUAAAUUUGCGAAGCUAUCACUGAUGCCGUGUUUUCUGUACUGCCGCGGGCAUCGCUCUCAAGUUGAGAACCUAAUGAUGUGUGAUUAGGUCAUCACUUAGGUUCGCUCCGGGCGUUGAUGUGGGCAUUGAACGGUUGGUGCGGUAAUAAACUGUUUGUUUGUUA
Ornithodoros turicata is the source of this 929-nucleotide long non-coding RNA. RefSeq lists it as uncharacterized. The transcript has 2 exons. Lineage: Eukaryota; Metazoa; Arthropoda; Arachnida; Ixodida; Argasidae. The record is from RefSeq and is a predicted model, not a curated record.